GGGGAAGAUUUCUUUUUUCACAUUAUUGUUAGUGCCUCUUUUUGGUGCAUCUUCUUUUUUCACUUGCAAAAUAGUGCAUUAAACAAACGAAUAAGAAUCAGAGUAUAAAAUAGACCUAAGCUUGUCAGGAAUCGAAGCUAACCAAUUUUAAGACAAUUUGCCUGACAAGAACAACCUAACUAAGAAAUCAGCAACUCUAUUAGUGCUUAUCAUGACCAAGGAAAACAACACAUUAUAGAAGUGAAGAAG
This 249-nucleotide unclassified non-coding RNA is filed under the name Hevea brasiliensis (rubber tree). The record is from RNAcentral. Lineage: Eukaryota; Viridiplantae; Streptophyta; Magnoliopsida; Malpighiales; Euphorbiaceae.